Molecule: ribosomal RNA, 440 nt
Filed under: uncultured bacterium
Lineage: Bacteria
Description: partial 16S ribosomal RNA
Rfam family: Bacterial small subunit ribosomal RNA
Source: RNAcentral
CCUACGGGUGACAGCAGUGGGGAAUAUUGCACAAUGGGGGAAACCCUGAUGCAGCGACGCCGCGUGAGUGAAGAAGUAAUUCGUUAUGUAAAGCUCUAUCAGCAGGGAAGAAAAGGACGGUACGUGAGUAAGAAGCCCCGGCUAACUACGUGCCAGCAGCCGCGGUAAUACGUAGGGGGCAAGCGUUAUCCGGAUUUACUGGGUGUAAAGGGAGCGUAGACGGCAGUGCAAGUCUGGAGUGAAAGGCGGGGGCUCACCCCCCGGACUGCGCUGGAAACUGUACGUCUGGAGUACAGGAGAGGUAAGUGGAAUUCCUAGUGUAGCGGUGAAAUGCGUAGAUAUUAGGAGGAACCCCAGUGGCGAAGGCGGCUUACUAGACUGUCACUGACGUUGAGGCUCGAAAGCGUGGGGAGCAAACAGGAUUAGAUACCCCAGUAGUC